GACGAACGCUGGCGGCGUGCUUAACACAUGCAAGUCGAACGGAAAGGCCCUGCUUUUGUGGGGUUCUCGAGUGGCGAACGGGUGAGUAACACGUGAGUAACCUGCCCUUGACUUUGGGAUAACUUCAGGAAACUGGGGCUAAUACCGGAUAGGAGCUCCUGCUGCAUGGUGGGGGUUGGAAAGUUUCGUCGGUUGGGGAUGGACUCGCGGCUUAUCAGCUUGUUGGUGGGGUAGUGGCUUACCAAGGCUUUGACGGGUAGCCGGCCUGAGAGGGUGACCGGCGACAUUGGGCCUGAGAUACGACCCAGACUCGUGGUGGAGGCAGAAGGGCAGAAUAUUUUACAAUGGGCGGAAGCCUGAUGCAGGAACGCCGCGUGCGGGAUGAAGGUCUUUGGGUUGUAAACCGUUUUGGGUUGUGACGAAGCGUGAGUGACGGAAAUGGGUAAAGAAGCACCGGCUAACUACGUG
This 468-nucleotide ribosomal RNA is filed under the name uncultured bacterium. RNAcentral's name for it is "partial 16S ribosomal RNA". It matches the Rfam family "Bacterial small subunit ribosomal RNA", at positions 28 to 507 of the family's 1533-position model. The record is from RNAcentral.